Long non-coding RNA from Pecten maximus, 1156 nucleotides. RefSeq lists it as uncharacterized. The transcript has 3 exons. NCBI's taxonomy places the organism in Eukaryota, Metazoa, Mollusca, Bivalvia, Pectinida, Pectinidae. The record is from RefSeq and is a predicted model, not a curated record.
UAUAAAUAUAUUUACUCCGUAAAUAGAUUUAAAGUCCGACAAGUUCGUAUCUACCUGUGUAAUCAAGUAGUACAGUAGUACAAGUAUAGCAAUCAAUAACAUAUCUCUUCUGUGUCCAGGAAGAAUUUAUAAAGGAGAUGGCAGACUGCCAUGCCGAUCAACCUUGACUCUUCAAAUCAAAUUGUCUUCUACCAAUCACCAGUAUGUUACUACACAUAUACAUGUACAUGAAUACAUAUGGGUAGUGUACGUAAAUUCACAGCAGAGUUCUACAAACGAUCUAGCGAAAUGCAAAUGAGGACCAAUAGCAAUUUAAAGGAAAUGUUGACAGACAGAAGGAUAUGGACUAUGGAUAGACAGACAGAUGACAGAUGCUACGCUAUGGCAUCAGAAAACUAAAUUCAAUCUUUUGUGAAGAGGUUUAAUGGAACAAAUUGGAGGAUGAUCGAAGGAACCCAAAUACAGAAACAAUACCGAUCUGACAGGCAAGUCUUUAGGAGGAGUAGAUAGAAGUUCCUUCAAAGGAAUGCCAUGUUAAGCCGUACGUUAGAAGGAGUGGAGUAACAUUCCCUCAAAGAAUGCCAUUCCAAGCCGUACGUUAGAAGUAGUCGAAUAACAUUCCCUAAAAGAAUGCCAUUCCAAGCCGUAUGCUAGAAGGAGUGGAGUGUCAUUCCGAAUGCCAUGCCAAGCCUUUAUUAUUAAUAUGUUUAUUCAGGUAAAAGGCAAUAUAAAUAAAAUAUAUCACAGAUACAAAUAUUAAAUUUUUAACAGUUUAACAAGAUUCAGCAAUCACUCCCUAAAUUACAGCAGAUAUCUAGUUGAAAUUUGAAACUUACAUUAAAAGCAUUUUGUAAAAAGGAAUUGAAUAAUAUUAAGAAUUACUUUUUAAAUAUGUUAUUGUCAAUUGCUUUGAAGGAGUUAUUGAAAUGAUUUACAUGCCGGCCUUUACCACAUCACCCUUUUACAGUUGUUUAGAAGAUGUUGUUAAAUGUUAAUGAUUAACACAGAGUUUUGAAAUAAUUUCAAAAGUGAUGUGCUUUUCGUUAGUCAAAGAUCGAAUAUGAUAUAGACCUAUAAGCUUAUAUAAUGUGUACGAUAUUUUUCAUACUCGAUCUCGAAGUUUGGUGAAUAUUAAGCAUUCGUAACUCCACACUUA